CCUACGGGGUGCUGCAGUGAGGAAUAUUGGUCAAUGGGCGUAAGCCUGAACCAGCCAAGUCGCGUGAGGGAUGAAGGUUCUAUGGAUCGUAAACCUCUUUUAUAAGGGAAUAAAGUGUGGGACGUGUCCUAUUUUGUAUGUACCUUAUGAAUGAGGAUCGGCUAACUCUGGGCCCGCAGCCGCGGUAAUACGGAGGAUACGAGCGUUAUCCGGAUUUAUUGGGUUUAAAGGGUGCGUAGGCGGCCUUGUAAGUCUGCGGUGAAAGGCUGUGGCUCAACCAUAGAAUUGCCGUUGAAACUGGGGGGCUGGAGUAUGUGUGAGGCAGGCGGAAUGCGUGGUGUAGCGGUGAAAUGCUUAGAUAUCAGGCAGAACCCCGAUUGCGAAGGCAGCCUGCCAAGCCAUGACUGACGCUGAUGCACGAAAGCGUGGGGAUCAAACAGGAUUAGAUACCCCAGUAGUC
Molecule: ribosomal RNA, 460 nt
Filed under: uncultured bacterium
Lineage: Bacteria
Description: partial 16S ribosomal RNA
Rfam family: Bacterial small subunit ribosomal RNA
Source: RNAcentral